Non-coding RNA from Protopterus annectens (West African lungfish), 73 nucleotides. The record is from the annotation of a RefSeq genome assembly. Lineage: Eukaryota; Metazoa; Chordata; Ceratodontiformes; Protopteridae.
GGCCUUAUAGCUCAGGGGUUAGAGCACUGGUCUAGUAAACUAGCAGACAUGAGUUCAAAUCUCAUCAAGGCCU